UCGGCUGAAGUUCGGUAGCGGUCAGAGCUGGUGACGGAGCCUGGCUCCCGUAGGAGCCCGGGCAGAGUACUCCUUGUGAUUGAAGUCGUGGGCGGAGCCCGGCUCCCGUAGGAGUCCGGGCGGAGUCCUCCUGCAAUUAAACUCAGGUGCGAAGUCCGGCUCCCGUGGGAGUCCAGACGGAGCUUACCGGCAGUUGAAGUUGGCGACGGAGCCCGGCUCCCGUAGGAGUCCGGGCGGAGUCCUCCUUGAGGUUGG
Molecule: long non-coding RNA, 255 nt
Filed under: Elaeis guineensis (African oil palm)
Lineage: Eukaryota; Viridiplantae; Streptophyta; Magnoliopsida; Arecales; Arecaceae
Description: long non-coding RNA (EGUI_LNC063367)
Source: RNAcentral